UACGUAGGCAGCAAGCGUUGUUCGGAGUUACUGGGCGUAAAGGGUGUGUAGGCGGUUGUUUAAGUUUGGUGUGAAAUCUCCCGGCUCAACCGGGAGGGUGCGCCGAAUACUGAAUGACUUGGAGUGCGGGAGAGGAAAGUGGAAUUCCUGGUGUAGCGGUGAAAUGCGUAGAUAUCAGGAGGAACACCGGUGGUGUAGACGGCUUUCUGGACCGUAACUGACGCUGAGACACGAAAGCGUGGGGAGCGAACAGG
Molecule: ribosomal RNA, 254 nt
Filed under: uncultured bacterium
Lineage: Bacteria
Description: partial 16S ribosomal RNA
Rfam family: Bacterial small subunit ribosomal RNA
Source: RNAcentral